Molecule: ribosomal RNA, 219 nt
Filed under: uncultured bacterium
Lineage: Bacteria
Description: partial 16S ribosomal RNA
Rfam family: Bacterial small subunit ribosomal RNA
Source: RNAcentral
GAGGAAUAUUGGUCAAUGGUCGCAAGACUGAACCAGCCAUGCCGCGUGCAGGAUGACGGUCCUAUGGAUUGUAAACUGCUUUUGUACGGGAAGAAACACUCCUACGUGUAGGGGCUUGACGGUACCGUAAGAAUAAGGAUCGGCUAACUCCGUGCCAGCAGCCGCGGUAAUACGGAGGAUCCGAGCGUUAUCCGGAAUCAUUGGGUUUAAAGGGGUCCG